This 392-nucleotide long non-coding RNA is filed under the name Vulpes vulpes (red fox). Its description in RNAcentral is "lncRNA (ENSVVUG00000004491.1)". Lineage: Eukaryota; Metazoa; Chordata; Mammalia; Carnivora; Canidae. The record is from RNAcentral.
GCUGGUGUCAUCACUCAGCAGGGACCUCGUCUCUUGUCCCUGGGCUCUCUUACAUGGCUCGUAGUUACAGAUGUGGACCUGCCAUCCGUGGCUUUGGAGCCACUCACUGACAGAUUGCCUCCUUUUUAGGCAGAGGAUAUUUUGCCUUCAUUUCCCACUGGAUGAUAUAUAGGCCUCAGAGAUGUUGUGCUAUCUGAUCCAUACCUGGUUGUUGCAAUAACUUAAGUAUUUGAAGUGCAAAAGAUAUUCCUUCUACAACAGGAAUGUGAUAAUCACUGUGGAAACUGUACAGGUGAGUAGGGAUAGGUAUAUUGAAAGUAAGUAAAACAGUCCAAGUUUGUCAAACCUUGAAAGAAUUCUUAUUGAUCUUUCUUGGCCUGGUAUUGGUGGCA